This 581-nucleotide ribosomal RNA is filed under the name uncultured Mycobacterium sp. RNAcentral describes it as "bacterial SSU rRNA". It matches the Rfam family "Bacterial small subunit ribosomal RNA", at positions 790 to 1368 of the family's 1533-position model. Lineage: Bacteria; Bacillati; Actinomycetota; Actinomycetes; Mycobacteriales; Mycobacteriaceae. The record is from RNAcentral.
GUAGUCCACGCCGUAAACGGUGGGUACUAGGUGUGGGUUUCCUUCCUUGGGAUCCGUGCCGUAGCUAACGCAUUAAGUACCCCGCCUGGGGAGUACGGCCGCAAGGCUAAAACUCAAAGAAAUUGACGGGGGCCCGCACAAGCGGCGGAGCAUGUGGAUUAAUUCGAUGCAACGCGAAGAACCUUACCUGGGCUUGACAUGCACUAGAAACACCUAGAGAUAGGUGCCCCCUUGUGGUUGGUGUGCAGGUGGUGCAUGGCUGUCGUCAGCUCGUGUCGUGAGAUGUUGGGUUAAGUCCCGCAACGAGCGCAACCCUUGUCUCAUGUUGCCAGCACGUUAUGGUGGGGACUCGUGAGAGACUGCCGGGGUCAACUCGGAGGAGGGUGGGGAUGACGUCAAGUCAUCAUGCCCCUUAUGUCCAGGGCUUCACACAUGCUACAAUGGCCGGUACAAAGGGCUGCGAUGCCGUGAGGUGGAGCGAAUCCUUUCAAAGCCGGUCUCAGUUCGGAUCGGGGUCUGCAACUCGACCCCGUGAAGUCGGAGUCGCUAGUAAUCGCAGAUCAGCAACGCUGCGGUGAAUA